CUUGUACACACCGCCGUCACACCAUGGGAGCGGGUUUCACCAGAAGUAGGUAGUCUAACCGCAAGGAGGGCGCUUACCACGGUGAGAUUCGUGACUGGGGUG
This 102-nucleotide ribosomal RNA is filed under the name uncultured bacterium. Its description in RNAcentral is "partial 16S ribosomal RNA". It matches the Rfam family "Bacterial small subunit ribosomal RNA", at positions 1380 to 1482 of the family's 1533-position model. The record is from RNAcentral.